This 504-nucleotide ribosomal RNA is filed under the name uncultured bacterium. Its description in RNAcentral is "bacterial SSU rRNA". It matches the Rfam family "Bacterial small subunit ribosomal RNA", at positions 791 to 1296 of the family's 1533-position model. The record is from RNAcentral.
UAGUCCACGCCCUAAACGAUGCUUACUCGAUAUUCCGACCUUGUGUUGGAGUGUCCAAGCGAAAGUGAUAAGUGAACCACCUGGGGAGUACGGUCGCAAGAUUAAAACUCAAAGGAAUUGACGGGGGCCCGCACAAGCGGUGGAGCAUGUGGUUUAAUUCGACGCAACGCGAAGAACCUUACCUGGCCUUGACAUGCAGAGAACUUUCCAGAGAUGGAUUGGUGCCUUCGGGAACUCUGACACAGGUGCUGCAUGGCCGUCGUCAGCUCGUGUCGUGAGAUGUUGGGUUAAGUCCCGUAACGAGCGCAACCCCUAUCCUUAGUUGCUAGCAGGUCAUGCUGAGAACUCUAGGGAGACUGCCGGUGACAAACCGGAGGAAGGUGGGGAUGACGUCAGGUCAUCAUGGCCCUUACGGCCAGGGCUACACACGUGCUACAAUGGUGCGCACAGAGGGCCGCAAACCCGCGAGGGGGAGCCAAUCUCACAAAACGCAUCGUAGUCCGG